This is a long non-coding RNA of Haliotis rubra (blacklip abalone), 873 nucleotides long. RefSeq lists it as uncharacterized. The record is from RefSeq and is a predicted model, not a curated record. Lineage: Eukaryota; Metazoa; Mollusca; Gastropoda; Lepetellida; Haliotidae. The transcript has 3 exons.
CGGCUGAAAUCCUCUUCAUUCGAGGUUGUAGGCAGUGUGUUUUCAGGCCCAAUUUACGGUGGAGUAUUCAACAUAAACAUCGAAUCUGGACAAGUGGGAAUUCCAGGCCGAGACGAGCCAAUGUCCUCCGCCAAGCGUCGCCGUAUUAUCUACAGUGACUCGUCCUCCGAUGAAGAAUAGCGUGUAAGCAAUGACAACGACACUAACCACAACUAUUUGAGACAUACAGUAUCCUGUUAUUCACAUUUGGCUUCUUCAGUUGUGUGUGUUGCUCCUAAUGCGUAACUUUUAUCUGCUUGUUUGUGAACAGUUUUCAACACGACUAUACCGACAGUGAUGGCCGACUGACGUUCAGGCGAUAUUUAGGUCACGUAGUUAAAUUAAAAAGGUUUACAGUUUACAAGUGUUUUGAUGAAUUACAUUAUUGUAUUUGAAAGCAAAUCCUCUAAUGAAAAGAAUUAAAUUUUGAUUACGACUUGAUUCCGUCAUAAUUUAUUUAUUAUCUAGACUAGUUAAAGGAACUACAUUGCCUCUACGCAGCAUACGUUUCCCUGGAGUGAAACGGUCGACAUUCCAAUCACCAAUAUGAUCUAUUAAUCCGCGCAGUGCGGUUCUAUAUAGGAAAGCAAGAUAUUGCUUUAUUUUAACAAUAUUUUCAUUUUUAGAACGUGGGUAAUAAAUAGGAUACAAAACUCGUUCCCCUUUCAUAUCAAGUUUAUGUCCCUCGUGAAAAAAUUUUGCUGUGUCACUCGCUAAAGCUCGUGACAAAGCAAAAUUAUUUCACUCGGGACAUAAACUUGAUAUGAAAGAGGAAGCUCGUUUGAUAUCCUAUAAUUAUACAAUCGCAAAAAUUAUUUGAAGCUACAUGCAAAA